Molecule: ribosomal RNA, 393 nt
Filed under: uncultured bacterium
Lineage: Bacteria
Description: partial 16S ribosomal RNA
Rfam family: Bacterial small subunit ribosomal RNA
Source: RNAcentral
AUACGGAGGAUCCGAGCGUUAUCCGGAUUUAUUGGGUUUAAAGGGUGCGCAGGCGGGAGAUUAAGUCGGCGGUGAAAUUUUGCAGCUCAACUGUAAAAGUGCCUUCGAUACUGGUUUCCUUGAGUGUGGAUGAAGUAGGCGGAAUUUGUGGUGUAGCGGUGAAAUGCUUAGAUAUCACGAGGAACUCCGAUUGCGCAGGCAGCUUACUAAACCACUACUGACGCUCAGGCACGAAGGCGUGGGGAUCAAACAGGAUUAGAUACCCUGGUAGUCCACGCAGUAAACGAUGAUUACUGGCUGUUUGCGAUACAAUGUGAGCGGCUGAGCGAAAGCGUUAAGUAAUCCACCUGGGGAGUACGUUCGCAAGAAUGAAACUCAAAUGAAUUGACGGGG